CUCUGAAGUUACUCUCAGUGUCUUGCUCUCGGGUACAGUGUGAAAAGAAGAUUAGAAUGCGAGUAUUUUUGCAUGAGUUAUAAAAGUAAUUAUGUACAUUUAAAUGUUGUGUACGGCAUUGUAAGUGAGGUACAAGCUUUACCCAUAUUUUUGUUCUGUACGUGCGUCUGCGAAGUGUUUGUAUACCGCCAUAAUGAGGGAGAUCAAUAAGUUCGGAAGAGCAACAGAAAGAAAAACAUCCCGGUUCUAGUCGCACCGGGACUGCAUUUCGCGAUCGUUUUAAAGACGAUGAGUUGGAUUGGCAUUGAUAGUCUCUGCUUCCUACAUCGGGCAGACGCUUCUUCAGACGCGAUACUCAAUAGCAGAAAUGCCGUCAUUCUUCUGUCCAGCAUACUAUUUACCGGCGUUUUGUAUAAAGUCAUGAACGAACGCUUGUCAACUUGGAUUGCCGGUGAAAUACACACGCUUAUCUGACCGCUGUUGAAUCGGAAUUCGUUGCUAAAUUAUCGGAUGAAGAUGAAAGGUCGGAAAAUGGCAGUCCCUUUGGUACGGCCCACAACAAGUAUUUUUCAGACAGCUCAUGGCCUACGGUAUUUUAGCAAACGUAAAGCUGAACGCCGUAUUGAACACAUAGUUUUGAACAGAGAUUGUCGCAUUACCGUCGUGUGUACAUUUUUGUUCCAAGAAUAGAUAGGACGACAGAAACGCGUUCAAUUAUGAUCCUGACAGUGAAGCCGGCGAACAAGAAUAUCAGGAAUUAUGCAACUGGUGUAUGUGCACAGCCAAAAUAAGACACCAGCUACCUGUUAAUCAACCUUGUAUGUAAAUGGGAGCCGUCGAAGUGGUCAAUUUCGGCCUCAUAACUACAGUUCAAGGAAGCUGUAGCACUUGUCAUAACAAUGAGUAGAUAGACAUUGUGGACACAGAGAAUAUUUGUUUGAGAAAUUGUUAUUAGAAAAUCUUUGGAGGGACUGCAACAAAGGCUUCAGAAGGAUAAGAAAAGAACUGGUGUCUUCAUCAGCACUAACAUACUGACACGCAUUCAACACAAUGAACUUGGAGAUCAGUUCAGAGUUAUUUUUUUAGACAAAUACACGGUUGUUAACCAGGUGAGACAGACGAUGUUAUCUGGGUGGGAGCAGAUGAUUUGGCACACCCUGGAGGGUCUUCACUGACAGUGCCAGUGGUUGUGGCCAGGGGCUACAAAAAUGCGGGCGAAACUUCUCUCGUAAAGGUGCUGGACAUUGGUACAGUACAUUUCUAUGGAUAUGCCAAAGCAGCUGCUAUAGCCAUUUCACACUACGCUGGAGGAUGCAAUGUUGGUAGAUAUAUUCCAUGUCCGAUACGUCAGCUGUCGUGACUCAGAGGGCGGACUGUCACUUUGGACAAGACACUUAAGUCACCAAGUCUCUUAAUCUCAGUCCAGAGCUGCUCAAAAAGUCACAGUAGUGAAGAAUGAGAUUCACUUGUUACACACAGAAAUGGCCAGUGAGUGCGGGAGUGUCUGUCUGCCGGUCUAUGCCACACACACAGCUGGGUUGGAUGCUCUCUGAAAGAAGAUCGAGGGGCUGUUAUGCGCGCAGUGGCUAGGACCUCGAUGGCCGUCAGUGUGUCCUCCAGAGGGUAGGAAUCCCACCAGCUGUAUGAGGAGGUGGCCGUCGUCGGUGUGAACACCGUCCCGCAGUAGGAGCGGUAUCUGGCAACAGGAUGUUCUUUUGCUGAACUUCAUUACAAUUACAGAGUAGGAAAGUCAACCACAGGGAACAUAAUCCGUCAAGUUUGUGCAGUAAUAAGGAACAAAUUGAAAACAAUUUGUAUACUGCCUAUGACAGAAGACAAGUGGGAACAAGUUAGUAACAAGUUAGUAACAACUUUCUAAAGUAUGACAACUUUCCUAACUGCCUUGGAGCACUGGACUGUAAACAUGUUCGUAUUGUGCAACCCAAUGAUUCAGGGUCCCUUUUUCACAACUGCAAACAUUUUCAUUCAAUUGUACUACUAGCUGUUUGUGAUGCUAACUACCGUUUUUUGUUUGUGGAUGUUGGUUUCUAUGGCAAAAGUAAGGAUUCAUCAGUUUUCCAGGAAUCAAUAUUUUACAAAAAACUCAUAUAAGGUACAUUGAAUAUUCCACAGGCAAAACCAAUUUCAAAUGUGGACAUUACACUAUUGCCUCAUGUUUUUGUAUCAGAUGAUGCGUUCGGUCUGUCGAAACACAUCAUGUGUCCAUACGUUGGAAAAUUAUUGUCUCAUAUUAAAAGAGUUUUAAACUACCGAUUGUCAAGAUCUCGCAGGUAUAUUGAAUGUACUUACGGUAUUAUGGCAAACAAAUGGAGAAUAUUUCAUAGGCCUCUAAAUGUCAGUUUAGAACUUGCAGAAAGUAUAGUUUAGGCAUGUUGUGUGUUGCAUAACUAUGUACGACAACGAGAUGGGUACAGGUAUGAAGAUACAUUUUAUAAGGCGCCAUUCGUUGACUUGUCUGGAGUAACUUCUCCACGGCCCAACAUGUAUGCAAAAGAAGUAAGAGACAGAUUUGCUCGUUACUUCAUCAGUGAAGGCAAGCUACCGUGGCAAGAUAAAAUGGUGUAAACAAGAGUGCAAUUGCGAACAGUUAUGAGACAAGUAUAUGUUAAUAAUACAACAUUACAUUGCCCAUUAGAACAAUACAGUGUAAUUAUGAACAAUUAAAUAUUUUUCUGUCAUGCAUUUCUCUGUAGAUAUUGAUUACAUAUUAUACACUAUUUGUAAUAGACAUCAUGUUAACAACUUUCUGUAAAUAAAAUUAAGAAAGCAUAAAUAAAUAGGUGAAAUAAAUAGCUUUAGUUACCUUUGACAGAUAUUACAUCCAAAUAG
Schistocerca serialis cubense is the source of this 2850-nucleotide long non-coding RNA. RefSeq lists it as uncharacterized. The transcript has 5 exons. Lineage: Eukaryota; Metazoa; Arthropoda; Insecta; Orthoptera; Acrididae. The record is from RefSeq and is a predicted model, not a curated record.